UGGCAUUCAUGAAUAUGGCAUGUAUUUUGAAUGAUUCUGAAUGGCUGAUUCUACGCUUACGGGAAUACUUUGAUUAGUUGGUGGAAGUAAUUACAUGUGAAUGAGCACAUAUUUGUGAAAGAACAAAUAGGUUU
Long non-coding RNA from Etheostoma spectabile (orangethroat darter), 134 nucleotides. RefSeq lists it as uncharacterized. The transcript has 4 exons. Lineage: Eukaryota; Metazoa; Chordata; Actinopteri; Perciformes; Percidae. The record is from RefSeq and is a predicted model, not a curated record.